UCGAACUCGAAGCGAUCCUCCUGCCUCAGCCUCCCAAGUGCUGGGAUUAUAGGCGUGCACCACCACGCCCGGCUAUGCAGAGGUUCUCAAAUUGAUGACGGGAGCGGAGGGACAGAGUAUUAAAUGGAGCCUUCGGCGUGGCUAUUUUCUGGGGGACCAGUGCACAGCAUCCUUCUUAAGAGGUCUUUCUGCCCCCUUGAAAAAAUCGAGUCCUCUCUCCAAGCCAGGACUGGAAACCUGAGCUUCUCCCUAGUCCAGUGCAUCUGCCAUCUGCAGUUGAUAAUUCGGAAGGAAUGGACUUUUCAGAACCAAUAGUAAAAAUAUGAUAAAUGCAAGGAGUGCUAUCAAGCUAAAGGAGGAGAAGACCAGACCAGAUUUGUGAAGGGUCCCUCAGCAGACGGAGUAGCUAGAGAUUUCCUUGUAGACUUGCUCCUGAGCAGACCACGCCUGACCUCACGGAAGAAGUCGAGCCAGGAGAUGGAGCUCUUUGCCCAGUGAGGACAUGCCGCCCUCCUGGGAGUCCUGGUCCCUGCAGCACGGCUGGGAGGUGCCACCCAACACGACGAAACGGCCUGGCUCCCGCGCGUCAGGAGGUGGAAUAAGUGCGGCUCUGUCACAGGAACACUUUUCUGCAAAGAGCUGCUUCCAGGGAAUGACCUCGAGGGGAUCUGUGAAUUUGUGGUUUUUUUUUUUUUGUUUUGUUUUUUUUUGGCGGGGGAGUUUGUUUUGUUGGGUACCGGGAA
This is a long non-coding RNA of Chinchilla lanigera (long-tailed chinchilla), 743 nucleotides long. RefSeq lists it as uncharacterized. NCBI's taxonomy places the organism in Eukaryota, Metazoa, Chordata, Mammalia, Rodentia, Chinchillidae. The transcript has 3 exons. The record is from RefSeq and is a predicted model, not a curated record.